Non-coding RNA from Myotis davidii, 73 nucleotides. NCBI's taxonomy places the organism in Eukaryota, Metazoa, Chordata, Mammalia, Chiroptera, Vespertilionidae. The record is from Rfam.
GCUGGUGUGCUCAGUGGUUAGAGCAUCAGCCUGCAGACCACAGGGUCACAGGUUCAAUUCCUGGUCAAGGGCA